Molecule: ribosomal RNA, 2335 nt
Filed under: Triticum aestivum (bread wheat)
Lineage: Eukaryota; Viridiplantae; Streptophyta; Magnoliopsida; Poales; Poaceae
Description: partial small subunit ribosomal RNA
Source: RNAcentral
CUUGCUCUGGAAAGCGCCACCACGCAACGCGACCUCCCCCCCUCCUCGAUACACACGUAUAAAAUCCGCAACCCUCCCAGGGCGGAGUUCUGGGCGCGCGGCGGAGCCUUUCCUCGGAUUUUCUCUCCGUGCUUCUUCCCGGCCGCGGCCGCAGUCGGCAUCGCAAGUGCUUGGCAAAUAGCAAGACGCUAUGAAAUUCCGCAAAGGGGGCAAGGUGGAGGUACUGCAGAAGGCGGAGGCACCUUUCGGUUCCUGGAGGCCUGCCGAGAUCCUUUCUGGCAAUGGGCACACCUAUCUCGUAAGCUAUGAUCCAUGUCUGCUUGACGGUAGUCUGGCCAUUGAAAGGGUUCCAAGAAAGGUGAUAAGGCCUUCUCCCCCGUCCCCAGAUGGUCUGGUGUGCUGGGUCCCAGGCGACAUCCUUGAAGUCUUCGACAGCUAUUCAUGGAAGGUUGUGGAAGUCGUGAGAUUGCUUGGUCAUGAGUACUAUCUUGUCAGGCUCCUCGGAUCCUCCCUAGAAUUGAGGGUAGAUGCAUCCAACCUUAGGACAAGGCAGCUUUGGCAAGAUGGCAAAUGGGUUGCUCUUCCAAAGGAUUCUGCAAGAUGUGCUGCUGGUUCACACAGGAGUCGGACAAAAGGUGGAAAUUCAGGGGGCAGUCAUCUUCUAUUAAAGAACAAGAAUGUGUUUGAAGACAAUAUGUCUCGAGGCAUGAAGAGGAAAACCUCUGCUGCAUCAGCUUUCCCUAUGCAGCGCAGUGAAGUUACUAAGAGAUUUCAGACUUCUCGCAGAGAUGGAAGACGCCAACAUCUUGGUCCUGGAGAUUCUCUUCAUUUGAUGGAUAAGGUAGAUGCUGUUGAUUCCCCAUGCUUAAUGCUGGGUGAAAAAUGCAUGCAUGAUUCCUUAAAUAACAGAGCAAAUGGCUUUCCUAAAACAAACCUUGCAGUGGUUAAUGCUAAUGUUGAUUAUCAGUAUCCCUCUGUAACAACUCAAGAUAGUGAUACUGAUAGUGCCGCAUCCUCUGUUGGUAGUUGCAAUCCCUACGGUAGCCCCUAUAGACAAGCACAUCCUCAGGAGUACGACAGUGGAGAUAUUUGUAGUAGGACUGAUGAUGAUGAUGAAGCUUCUGUAUCUGGAACUGAAUCACCUCUUCCAAUUAAAGGUGGUCUGGGGGAAGAAACCCAUCUGCUUGAGUUGCAUGCUUAUCGUGCAACAAUGAUGGCACUAUAUGCUUAUGGAUCAAUUAGCUGGGAGCAAGAGGCUUUGAUGACUAAUCUGAGGCUUACACUGAACAUCUCUACUGAUGAACAUUUAUCAGAGGCCGAAGUUGGAGGCUUGUAAAGCAUCCUUCGGUAGGUCUGUGUUGAUGGAGGAGUUUGUCACAUGGUUUACUUGGUGACCAAUGUGGCAAUUUCCAUCAAACUUUGGUUCGUAUCCAAUUUUUUUUUGUUUGUUUCAUAUCUUCCUUUUUUAGCUUCUUUUAGGGCUCUACUAGCUUUUGCAAGGAUACUGGACAGGAAUUUGGCUUGGCAUUAAUGAACAAAUAAGUUAAUGGUAAUAUUCAACAUGCAGCAUGUUUGCAAAAAAGAAUGCUUAUGUCAGUACAGAGAACUACUACAGCAUUUAUUGGAUAUUCUGACCAUGUCCUUUCCUGAACAAGGAAAACAAAGGAGCAGUUAAGUGUGCAAUAAUCUGGAUAUGUUGCUCUGUUGGUAAAGGAAGGAAUUGGAUAUCAUAAUUGCACAUUGCGAUCUAUGUGAUUAAUCGCUAAAUUAAUAUAAAAAUUGUGUUGUUUAAGUUGAAAAGCUCAAUAAAUAUAGGUAUGGAUUAUAUGACGAUAAAAGUAGAUAGUAGUCAUAGCACAUGUGAUUUGUUAAAGUAGUUUUCAGAGAUUUAUCUUGGCGACAGUACUCUUCAAAUGCUAGGUCUCGGAAGCUCAUCUAUUGAAGUUAAUAGCUGGUUUUUGCUUUGCAAGAAUUCAUGUCAGCUAAAUGAUUAUUUGGCGCAUUCUGGGGAAUGAGGGAGACUAUCCCUAGGUAGACUUAUUGGUUUUUGGCAUGUACAGUGAGCUACACCUGCAACUUACUUGAUGUGGAUAUUGAGAGGUAAGUUAGUAGGUUAGUAGGCAUAUUGUUUAUCCUCAGGCUCAGCAGUUCUACGGUAGGUUUGUUAAUUCUCAUACAUGAUAGAUAUUGCAAGUGUAAAGUAUUUCUCUGAAAAGUGCUGACUCAGAUGUGUUACUACAUGAUCUUCUUGAUAUCCUUAUAAGGAGUUAUGGAGACUACCUUUGUAUUUCAUAAAUGUAAAAGUACUUACCUGAAAAGUAAUGCUUAUUUUGGC